RNAcentral lists this ribosomal RNA (119 nucleotides) under Pteropus alecto (black flying fox). Lineage: Eukaryota; Metazoa; Chordata; Mammalia; Chiroptera; Pteropodidae. The record is from RNAcentral.
GUUUACAGCCAUGUCACCCUGAACAAGCCUGAUCCUGUCUGAUCUCAGAAGCUAAGCAGGGUCGGGCCUGGUUAGUACUUGGAUGGGAGACCACCUAGAAAGACCAGGUGCUGUAGGCA